GGUAUGAGGAGGUCUGGCUCUGAUAUGCCAUCACAGCCAACCAGGGGUUGAUUUUGUUGAUCUGUCUGCCAAGAUGGGUGUUGUUUUCCUCCCUCACUAUACCAUGUGUGUCCCUCCUGAAGCUGGAGGGACAGUUCUGGAGAAAGACCUUCCCCAAUACAAAGAGGACCAUUCGCUAGGAGCCUUGGCUCAUGCCUAUAAUCCUAGCUACUCAGGAAGAUGAGAUCUGAUAAUGGCAAUUCCAAGCCAGUCUGGUCAGGAAAGUCCAGCAGACUCUUAUCUCCAAUUAACCACAAAAAGCUGAAAGUAGAGCUGU
Molecule: small nuclear RNA, 316 nt
Filed under: Dipodomys ordii (Ord's kangaroo rat)
Lineage: Eukaryota; Metazoa; Chordata; Mammalia; Rodentia; Heteromyidae
Description: 7SK RNA
Rfam family: 7SK RNA
About the family: 7SK was discovered as an abundant small nuclear RNA in the mid-70s but a possible function has only recently been suggested. Two independent studies have found that 7SK RNA binds the CDK9/cyclin T complex (known as elongation factor P-TEFb).
Source: Rfam by way of RNAcentral